RNAcentral lists this ribosomal RNA (855 nucleotides) under Triticum aestivum (bread wheat). Its description in RNAcentral is "partial small subunit ribosomal RNA". Lineage: Eukaryota; Viridiplantae; Streptophyta; Magnoliopsida; Poales; Poaceae. The record is from RNAcentral.
AUGGCCAACGCUCAUGUCAACAUGAACUUCAACGCGUUCCUAGAGAAAACCAAGCUGAAAGAUGAUGGCAGCAACUAUACGGACUGGGUCCGGAACCUGAGGAUCAUCCUCAUAGCUGCCAGGAAACAAUAUGUCCUAGAAGGACCGCUAGGUGACGCUCCCGUCCCAGAGAACCAAGACAUUAUGAAUGCUUGGCAGUCUCGUGCUGAUGAUUACUCCCUCGUUCAGUGCGGCAUGCUUUACAACUUAGAACCGGGGCUCCAAAAGCGUUUUGAGCAUCACGGAGCAUAUGAGAUGUUCGAAGAGCUGAAACUAGUUUUCCAAGCUCACGCCCGGGUCGAGAGAUAUGAUGUCUCCGACAAGUUCUAUAGUUGUAAGAUGGAGGAAAACAGUUCUGUCAGUGAACACAUCCUGAAGAUGUCUGGGUUGCACAACCGUAUGACCCAGCUGAACAUUAACCUCCCAGAUGAGGCGGUCAUUGACAGAAUCCUCCAAUCGCUCCCACCAAGCUACAAGAGCUUUGUGAUGAACUACAACAUGCAGGGGAUGGAAAAGACCAUUCCUGAAGUGGUCUCAAUGCUGAAGUCAGCGGAGGCUGAAAUCAAGAAAGAACAUCAAGUGUUGAUGGUCAAUAAGACCACUAAGUUCAAGAAGGGCAAGGGUAAGAAGAACUUCAAGAAGGACGGCAAGGAGGUUGCCGCGCCUGGUAAGCCAGUUGCCAGGAAGAAGUCAAAGAAUGGACCCAAGGCUGAGAUUGAGUGCUUUUAUUGCAAGGGGAAGGGUCACUGGAAGCGGAACUGCCCCAAAUACUUAGCGGAUAAGAAGGCCGGCAACACCAAAGGAGCUGCGGAAUAA